UCGUGUUCCUUUUGUUUCCUUCUUUCUAUCCUCUCUGCUUAUCUUCCUUUCUCUCUCUGUUUUUUCUCUUCCUCUUAAUUAAAAAAAAUCACUGGAAAAAGGACAUGGGGCAAUAACAAAUACCUCGUAAAGUUGUGCUUCGCUGUCUAGGCAAACGAGUUUCUCCCUAGCUUCCUCCUCUGCCACAAAGAAAUCUAGGGGAGUGGGAAAUACAGGGAGAACUUCGAGAAAGAAUUUGUGGAAGACAUUGUCUGCCCUUCUCCAGACCUCAUUCGCCCCUGGAAAGCACAGUGACUUUUUUUCUCUUGCCUACAUUCCCCAAGUUAAGAAGCACAAUCUUGAUACCUGAGGAAAAUGAAAGGUUGAUUCAGCCUUUCAGUUUGAGAACACUCCUGCCCUCAGCUCUCGGGUUCUAGACCGAAGUCGGAUUUCUGGAGGUUGUGUUUCGUGGCCUGCAGUAAAUGAAAGGAUCUUUGUCAUUGUACCUGUCCUAGUCAGGCUAGACGCUGUUCCUGAAAGGGGUCAGUCAGUCAAUCAACAAGCAUUUAUUAAGCUCUUACCCGGGUCAACCACUAUGGGAAUAAAUUGCCCUCAAGGGGCAUAAAUCUAACAUUGAUCAUAAAUUUAUCGAAAAGCACCGACGUGUAUGGUCAGGAAGAGAAGCAAAGUUAUAUUCUACCUUUUACCUGUGAUGGUGGAUUAAUUAAACUAGUCAUUUGGGACGGCAACGCCUCCAGGGACAGUCAAGCAGAGUUUUUCUGGGAUUUAAUUUAUCUGGCUCUUGGGGCGAUAAAGUGGCCAGCUCAAGCCAGAGAGCGGAUCAAGGAUGAUGCUGGCCUUCGCUUUCAAAGGCUAGAGAGGACCUUUCCUGUGCAGGGAGUGGAGUCUGAUCUGGCCCAGGAGUGCCCAGUCAUGGAAAUCUGGAAUCCAGGCUAGAGGUUUCAGGCAGCUCAGCAGUGAUUUUCAGAGGAUAUUCCAACCAGAAGAGGCCAGCACUAAUGACUUUGGAAGUGAACUUGGUGGGACUAAUGCUAUGUAAUACAUGAACCAAUUUGUGAGCCAAAUCUACUCCUCUCCAACCCCCCAACCCCCACUAAGCCCUUAAGAUAUUGGAGGAAGAGUUUAUUAUUUAUUUGUUCUUGCUGUAUCCUUGAAGUAAAUACAUCUUUGUAAAACUAAUCUGAUCUUAAAUGGUUCAUUGCAAUGGCUGUGCCAAGAACUGGGUCUUAAAAAUGAUAGAGGAACACAAUUGGUCCAUAGCAGAGGAAAGAGAUCUCCCUAGACUCUUCAGAAUAUUGGAGAAGUGCAUCCAGAAUCAACCAUGUUAUACAGAUUAGGAAUCUAAAGCUGUAAUUAAGUGACUUGCCCAAGGUCACAUAACUUAUUUGAGUCUUGGGAAUGAUUCAAACCUACUACUUCACUUGACAUACAAAAUAUAUAGAGUCAUUAAAUACAAGAUCAUUUGGGAAAGAGGACACUAAUAGUAAUGGGAAUCAGAAAAAGCCUAAUACAAAAAAUGGUGCUUGGAAGAGAAGGACUUCAUGAGUUAGGGGUAGAGUCAAGUGUGUGGAAUCAAGAAAAGGCCAGCGUGCCUAGAUUUCAGGGGUCAGGAAGGCAGGUAAUGCCCAGUGAAGUCAGACAGCAAGAUUUGAUAUGGGACUUGAAAGGCUAACCAGAUGUAUUUAUAUUUUAGUUUAGGGGCAAUAGAAAGUGGCUGGAGUUGGUUGAGUAGAAGAAGUGCACUUAAAAAAAUUACAUUAACAGUAGAUUAUAGAAUGGAUUAGAGUGGUAAGAGACUGGAAGCAAGAAGGCCAAGUAGGAAAUUAUUUUAUUCAUUUAGGUAAGAGGUAAUGAGAGCGUGAAUUAAAGCCAGAAGUCUAGGAUGAUACCAAGAUUAUAAAUCCAGGAGACUAGAAAGAUGAUGGUGUUUUUAAGGGACAAGAGAAGUUUGGAGGAUUUAGGAGAAAAGAUAGUGAGGUCUAUUUUACAUAUGUUAGAUUAAUGAUGUCUCCAGGAUAAUCAGUUUGAAAUAUCUUAAAAGGUAAUUGUUGAUCCAGGAUAAAAGUUUAGGGAUGAGUGGGGCUGCAUAUAGAAAUCUGGGAAUCAUAGAGAAUACUUAACCUGAUAGGAGCUGAUAAGGUUACUGAGAGAAAGCAUAGUGGGACUAGGACAGAAAAAUAUCUUGUCCCUAUUACACUUGAGUUGGAAGAAAUUUACUAGUGUAACACUCAAGAAGAUGCUCCAGUGUCCUCCUCUAUUUUGAAUCUCUGAAGACAAGUUCUUUAUACCAAAAUAAGCUUCUUAUUCUGUUGUUCUAUAUACUAAAUUGGUGAAUAUGUCCUUUGGGAGUUCUGUAGUGGUAUAAGAUUAAUCAUUUCCCCAUAUAUUCUGCAUGAUAAAGAAAUUAGAGAGCUAGAAAAUAAAGUACUAUCUAAGAUUUAAGGAGGAAAAAUGUGUUAGCAUUUGUUGUGUGUGUGUGUGUGUGUGUGUGUGUGUGUGUGAUUAGAAAAUCCAAGAGAUUAAGUUGUGGGUAAGAAAAAUCAAUUUUUUUGAUCAGACUAUAACCAAUAAAUUAAUUGGUCAGUGACAUCUCUCUUGAUUAACAAAGACAAAUUCAUUCAGGAUUUUGAAUACAAAUUACAAUUUUGGAAGCUUGUUAUUUGGCCUUCCCCAAGACAUCUGCAAUUGGUGGAUAUCCAAUUGGAGGCAGGUUAGUAUUUUCUCCCUUGUUCCCUCCUGAAAAUGGGGGAAAUCACAUGUCUGAUCAUAGGAUUCCAUCAUCCUUGUGGAUCUAGAUGAAGGAAUCAAAUCAGGCCCAAGAUUGACUUUCUCCAUGUAUCCCCAUGGGGGCACUCAAGGAUGUUACCAUACUACCUCCCAGACAUUCUUUGCCUCAACCAAUUUUUUUUUUCAUUAGACAAUAUGGAGCUUAUAAUCUUAAUUGUCCCUAUUUUGGAGGCUGCUCUGGGACAGAGAAUAUGAAGACAUUCCUAUAAUUGUCAGGACACAGGAAUGAGAAAAAACCUUGAAAAAUGUAUUACUAAGCCCUAUUAAAAAUAAAAUAAUGUGGUCAGAGCGUUAUUUAGAAAUAAAAAUGAUUCCACAUUAGGAAUAAAUCUUCUUAGCAAAUAAAGGAAGCCUUUUUGGGGCUUUAAAGGAUUGUCAGAUCAGGUGAAGAUGGAGAGGAAAAGUCUUACAGGCAUAGGGAACAGCUUGAAAAAGAACACAGAUGUGAGUGUAAUUUAUAUUUUGGGGAUGGGGUAUGGUAAAGUGGGAAGGAGCUAAGAGUUUCAGUUUGGACUGAGUGUAGAGUGUGUGCAAUGUUUAGAAAAGCGUAAUAGUGCUAGGUGGUGGAAGGUUUUGAUUAAAGGCAAAAGAGGUGGGAUUUAUUUGGGAAGCAAAAGAGAGCCACUGAAUGUUGUUAACUAGACAGUCACAUGCCCAGAGUCACAGCUAGUAAGUAUUAAAGCCAAGACACAAACUCAAAUUCUCCUGAUGCCAAAUACAGAGGUUUUUUUUUUCUUUCUAUUCUACUCCUCUAAUUUCUUUCCAUAUAGUUAAACUUUAUUUAACAAUCCAGAUCAUCCCUUCAAAAUCAGAUGAAGAAGGCUUAGUCUACUCUUUACAAACUUUAAUUUGAUUUUUAACUUCUAAUAGACUUGACCAGAGUUUUGUCAUAGAAUAUGAGAUAUUUGCAUAGCAGGAAUGAAAAUACUUUACAUGGACAGAUAAUGUUGAGGUUUUCCUAUAGACAGCUCACCUACAAGAACCUGAAUUUAAAGUCUCCAAAGCCUAUUUAGUCAACUUGUUGGAUAUUUUGUCAACAUGGCAAUACUUUUCCAAUAGCAGAAAAAAAUUGAUCUUUUCCCUUAUACAAUUAUGUCUUUUUGACUAUAAUUACUUUUUUUGUUACAACGUUCAAGUUGAAGCAAUUCCUCAGAUUGUUAUUCUAUUCCUCUACAAUUACUUUAUCUAAUUUGAUCUAAUCCAACACAAUCAGAUCAUUUAUUAGGUGCCUAACAUGUUCAACUCACUGUUAAGUUGUAUGCAUUCAAAGAAAAAAAAUGAAAAACUUUUUUUCUGUCCUCAAAGGACAUAUUCUUUUUAAAAUUUUAUUCAAGGAUAUUUUAUUUUCCCAAUUACAUCUAAUAAUAAUUUUCAACAUAUUUUCUGAACUUAUAAGAUCCAAAUUGUCUCCUUCCCUACUUUCUCUCUCCCUCUCAGAGAUGGUAAGCAAUUUGGUUUGGAUUAUACAUGUAUUAUCAUGCAAAACAUACUUCCAUAUUGGUCAUUGUUGUAAGAGAAUACUCAUUUAAAACCAAAACCUCCAAAUAGAACUAUAAAUAAAUGAAUGUGAGAUAAUAUGCUUUAAUCUGCAUCUGACUCCAAUAGUUCUUUAUCUGGAGAUGGAAAGAAUUCUUUGUCAUAAGUCCUUCAGGACGGUCCCAAAUCAUUCUAUUGCUGAGAGGAGCUAAGUCUUUCAGAGUUGAUCAUCAUACAAUCUUGCUGUUACUAUGUACAGUGUUCUCCCUGUUCUGCUUAUUUCACUCUGCAUCAUUUCAUGUACAUCUUUUCAGCCUUUUCUGAAAUCAUUCUGCUUAUCAUUUCUUAUAGCACAGUAGAAUUCCAUCUUGACAUAUACCACAAUUUGUUCAUCCAUUCUCUAAUUGAUGAACAUAGGCUCAAUUUCCAAUUCUUUGACACCACAAAGAGAGGUUCUAUACAAGGUUAUUUUAUUUUUGUACAAGAACCUACAAUUUUUGUAGGUGGUUAUUUCCAAUUUUUUAUUGUCUCUUUGUUACAUAGACAAAGGGCUUCCAGUCUACAAGGGUUGGGAAGAAAAUGUGUAAUUUUAUGAAAAAUUCCAAUAUAAAUGCCAUUUUGGUUAAGAUCUAUAUAGCUAAAUGAAUAUUUUUAGUCUCAAAACAUCUUAUGUAAUUAAAGUUAACCUUGGUGAUUAAUUUAGUAAGUUUAUAUUUGUAAAAUACAUUUGAGUAAAACUGACUUGAAUAGUGAAAUUAUAGAUUUUUGUAUUGUGUUUUCUCAUGCUAAAAUCAAGCCUUUAAUAGACACAAUAUAACAUCAAUUGCAUGGUUAGAUCUCAAAAGUAAUUUCUUAUUUCUGGAGGACUUAUUUGUCUUGACUGGCAAAUAUGUAUAUAAUUUGUGCUGUAGGUUUUCUAAAGAUUUGUGAAAGGAGAGGUUUGUAUAUUCUAGUUUUAAUUAAAAGGACCUUUAUUUAGAGCCAUAAA
Molecule: long non-coding RNA, 5251 nt
Organism: Monodelphis domestica (gray short-tailed opossum)
Lineage: Eukaryota; Metazoa; Chordata; Mammalia; Didelphimorphia; Didelphidae
Source: RefSeq, a predicted model, not a curated record